This 139-nucleotide non-coding RNA is filed under the name pig gut metagenome. RNAcentral's name for it is "glmS glucosamine-6-phosphate activated ribozyme". It matches the Rfam family "glmS glucosamine-6-phosphate activated ribozyme aptamer", at positions 4 to 150 of the family's 167-position model. Rfam says of the family: This entry contains a glucosamine-6-phosphate activated ribozyme that is found in the mRNA for GlmS. GlmS is an enzyme that uses fructose-6-phosphate and glutamine to generate glucosamine-6-phosphate. The record is from RNAcentral.
AAACUGAUAGCGCCAGACCUUUUUUCGCAUUAUGGGUGACGAGGCAGAGAGUUAUCGAAAUUUUCGGCGGAUGCUCUCUCGGCUCUUUUAGAGUCGUUAUAUUGUGUACAAAAGCAAAAAAUUUAUUCUGCUACAAAAA